RNAcentral lists this ribosomal RNA (2904 nucleotides) under Enterobacter roggenkampii. RNAcentral's name for it is "23S ribosomal RNA". It matches the Rfam family "Bacterial large subunit ribosomal RNA". The record is from RNAcentral. Lineage: Bacteria; Pseudomonadati; Pseudomonadota; Gammaproteobacteria; Enterobacterales; Enterobacteriaceae.
GGUUAAGCGACUAAGCGUACACGGUGGAUGCCCUGGCAGUCAGAGGCGAUGAAGGACGUGCUAAUCUGCGAAAAGCGCCGGCGAGGUGAUAUGAACCUUUGACCCGGCGAUGUCCGAAUGGGGAAACCCAGUGUGAUUCGUCACACUAUCGUUAACUGAAUACAUAGGUUAACGAGGCGAACCGGGGGAACUGAAACAUCUAAGUACCCCGAGGAAAAGAAAUCAACCGAGAUUCCCCCAGUAGCGGCGAGCGAACGGGGAGCAGCCCAGAGUCUGAAUCAGCUUGUGUGUUAGUGGAAGCGUCUGGAAAGUCGCACGGUACAGGGUGACAGUCCCGUACACGAAAAUGCACAGGUUGUGAACUCGAAGAGUAGGGCGGGACACGUGGUAUCCUGUCUGAAUAUGGGGGGACCAUCCUCCAAGGCUAAAUACUCCUGACUGACCGAUAGUGAACCAGUACCGUGAGGGAAAGGCGAAAAGAACCCCGGCGAGGGGAGUGAAAAAGAACCUGAAACCGUGUACGUACAAGCAGUGGGAGCACCUUCGUGGUGUGACUGCGUACCUUUUGUAUAAUGGGUCAGCGACUUAUAUUCUGUAGCAAGGUUAACCGUAUAGGGGAGCCGAAGGGAAACCGAGUCUUAACUGGGCGUUAAGUUGCAGGGUAUAGACCCGAAACCCGGUGAUCUAGCCAUGGGCAGGUUGAAGGUUGGGUAACACUAACUGGAGGACCGAACCGACUAAUGUUGAAAAAUUAGCGGAUGACUUGUGGCUGGGGGUGAAAGGCCAAUCAAACCGGGAGAUAGCUGGUUCUCCCCGAAAGCUAUUUAGGUAGCGCCUCGUGAACUCAUCUUCGGGGGUAGAGCACUGUUUCGGCUAGGGGGCCAUCCCGGCUUACCAACCCGAUGCAAACUACGAAUACCGAAGAAUGUUAUCACGGGAGACACACGGCGGGUGCUAACGUCCGUCGUGAAGAGGGAAACAACCCAGACCGCCAGCUAAGGUCCCAAAGUCAUGGUUAAGUGGGAAACGAUGUGGGAAGGCACAGACAGCCAGGAUGUUGGCUUAGAAGCAGCCAUCAUUUAAAGAAAGCGUAAUAGCUCACUGGUCGAGUCGGCCUGCGCGGAAGAUGUAACGGGGCUAAACCAUGCACCGAAGCUGCGGCAGCGACACUAUGUGUUGUUGGGUAGGGGAGCGUUCUGUAAGCCGUUGAAGGUGUGCUGUGAGGCAUGCUGGAGGUAUCAGAAGUGCGAAUGCUGACAUAAGUAACGAUAAAGCGGGUGAAAAGCCCGCUCGCCGGAAGACCAAGGGUUCCUGUCCAACGUUAAUCGGGGCAGGGUGAGUCGACCCCUAAGGCGAGGCCGAAAGGCGUAGUCGAUGGGAAACAGGUUAAUAUUCCUGUACUUGGUGUUACUGCGAAGGGGGGACGGAGAAGGCUAUGUUAGCCGGGCGACGGUUGUCCCGGUUUAAGCAUGUAGGCGGAGGUUCCAGGUAAAUCCGGUACCUUUUAACGCUGAGGUGUGAUGACGAGGCACUACGGUGCUGAAGUAACAAAUGCCCUGCUUCCAGGAAAAGCCUCUAAGCAUCAGGUAACAUCAAAUCGUACCCCAAACCGACACAGGUGGUCAGGUAGAGAAUACCAAGGCGCUUGAGAGAACUCGGGUGAAGGAACUAGGCAAAAUGGUGCCGUAACUUCGGGAGAAGGCACGCUGAUAUGUAGGUGAAGCCCCUGCGGGUGGAGCUGAAAUCAGUCGAAGAUACCAGCUGGCUGCAACUGUUUAUUAAAAACACAGCACUGUGCAAACACGAAAGUGGACGUAUACGGUGUGACGCCUGCCCGGUGCCGGAAGGUUAAUUGAUGGGGUUAGCGGCAACGCGAAGCUCUUGAUCGAAGCCCCGGUAAACGGCGGCCGUAACUAUAACGGUCCUAAGGUAGCGAAAUUCCUUGUCGGGUAAGUUCCGACCUGCACGAAUGGCGUAAUGAUGGCCAGGCUGUCUCCACCCGAGACUCAGUGAAAUUGAACUCGCUGUGAAGAUGCAGUGUACCCGCGGCAAGACGGAAAGACCCCGUGAACCUUUACUAUAGCUUGACACUGAACACUGGUCCUUGAUGUGUAGGAUAGGUGGGAGGCUUUGAAGUGUGGACGCCAGUCUGCAUGGAGCCGUCCUUGAAAUACCACCCUUUAAUGGCUGGUGUUCUAACGUAGACCCGUAAUCCGGGUUGCGGACAGUGUCUGGUGGGUAGUUUGACUGGGGCGGUCUCCUCCCAAAGAGUAACGGAGGAGCACGAAGGUUAGCUAAUCCUGGUCGGACAUCAGGAGGUUAGUGCAAUGGCAUAAGCUAGCUUGACUGCGAGAGUGACGGCUCGAGCAGGUGCGAAAGCAGGUCAUAGUGAUCCGGUGGUUCUGAAUGGAAGGGCCAUCGCUCAACGGAUAAAAGGUACUCCGGGGAUAACAGGCUGAUACCGCCCAAGAGUUCAUAUCGACGGCGGUGUUUGGCACCUCGAUGUCGGCUCAUCACAUCCUGGGGCUGAAGUAGGUCCCAAGGGUAUGGCUGUUCGCCAUUUAAAGUGGUACGCGAGCUGGGUUUAGAACGUCGUGAGACAGUUCGGUCCCUAUCUGCCGUGGGCGCUGGAGAAUUGAGGGGGGCUGCUCCUAGUACGAGAGGACCGGAGUGGACGCAUCACUGGUGUUCGGGUUGUCAUGCCAAUGGCACUGCCCGGUAGCUAAAUGCGGAAAAGAUAAGUGCUGAAAGCAUCUAAGCACGAAACUUGCCCCGAGAUGAGUUCUCCCUGAGACUUUAAGUCUCCUGAAGGAACGUUGAAGACGACGACGUUGAUAGGUCGGGUGUGUAAGCGCAGCGAUGCGUUGAGCUAACCGAUACUAAUGAACCGUGAGGCUUAACCUU